Molecule: long non-coding RNA, 2450 nt
Organism: Carassius gibelio (silver crucian carp)
Lineage: Eukaryota; Metazoa; Chordata; Actinopteri; Cypriniformes; Cyprinidae
Exons: 3
Source: RefSeq, a predicted model, not a curated record
GGAGACAACAGCAUUAAUGAAUGGAGAGAUUAUGGAAAACACUUCUAUAUAGUGACUGUUGCAUUUAAAUAAAACCUUUCUGCUUUUAUGAGCGUUUAAAACUGGAAACAUUUCUAAAAUGAAUACUGCAUGCUAUUAGCCUGUGAAAAGUAACAUGACAGAGGGUUUCUUUUUUAUUUUUGUUUUUAUGGUUAUUUUUUUCAGUCUGGGGAUUGUUGUUUAGGGGUAGAAAAGUGAAGUACAAGUCAAGGUGUGGAACCAAAUGUUUUCUGUGUAAACUUUGUUGAUGAGUCAGGGCAGAUAAGUGCUAUUUGUUGGCCCCAGGGAAAAGGAAAAAUAAUACCAGCACAGUCAGAGGUUGUGAUCGAAGCAUGCACACUUGUUCGGCCUGAUAGAAAGGGUUAUGUGAGCUUGGUAGAACCAUGUAAAGAUGAUGUAUUGCCAGGCCAGUUAUUGGUAGCCCGAUCAUUGAGCACCGUUUCAAAUGGUAGAGUUAUAGUCAGAAUCGUAAACCUUUCUCCAGUUCCGUUGAUGCUUUUUCAGAGUUGUCGGUUAUUUCUGAUGUUGAGUUGUGUCCAUCAAGGUCACGCAGGGAAAUGUAAAGUUAAGACCAUUGGUUAAUGAGACUUUGGAGGUCCAUAUUGUCCAUCUAGAUUUGGUCUUCAAACAUCUAUGGGGACUCAGUAAUUGUUCCCAUGUAUUUGGGCCAUGUGAUUGCAGAAGGAGGGGUGUCAUCAAACCCAGAGACGUUCCGGGCAGUGGAGGCCUGGUUACUGAGGACCUGGAGGAGGGUCACGAGUUCGAGACAGUGGCACAUAUGGAUCAUGGAGACAGGCCAAGGAGAGGUGGGCCCAAUGGACUGAUCCAGUGCUAUUACGACUCUGGAUCUAUGCGGACAGAGGGAGAGGGCACUCUCCAAGAGAGCGAGUAGCAGAAGAUCGGUCUACCCAAGUGUUGUUGUGACAUUGGGCCUGCCUCUGUGUGGAUCAGUGACUGCUGUGUAGGGAGGUAUGUGAUCCAAAGACAUUUGACAAAUGCAAGCAAAUAGCAGUGUCUGCAUUCACAAGUUCUGGAACGGUUGCAUGACCAUGCAGGACGCCUGGUUGACAGGGUUUGAUCCGUCAACGUUUUUUUCUUUGGACCGGGGCUGGUACGAGAAGUGGAGAGAUGGUGCCUUCAGUGUGUUCGAUGCAGCCUGCACAAGAAUCCUGCAAAUAAAAGACUGCUCAAUAUUGAUCUUUCUGAGAAGGCAGCUGGUUGAUUUGAAAAUUACCUCUCAGGCAGGACUCAACUUACAAGUUGUAUCAGGGGUCCCAGAGGGAUCGGUGCUGGGCCCAGUUUUAUUUACCAUUUAUGUAAAUUACCUUGGUUAAAAUGUCCAUAAUGCUCUGUUUAAUUUUUAUACUGACGACAGAAUUAUUUACACCUGUGGAGAAACCCUUCACCAGACUUUUCAGUAUCUGCAGGAUGCCUUCGACACUGUACAAUCUCGGCUGUCCAACUUGAAGCUUGUGUUGAAUGCAAGUAAAACCAAGACGGUACUGUUCUCAAAUAUUAGGAACUCCACAACUAUCCUUCCAAACAUUAUUACUCUGCAGGGAAAUCUAAUAGAGUGUGUGGCUGAGUACAAGUACUUAGGACUUUUACUUGACGACCAUUUGACUUUUAAGGCUCAUAUCCAAAAUUUUGCCCAGAAACUAGGGUUCUAUUUUAGGAAUAGGGCCUGUUUUUUCUUAUGUAAAAGGGAAGAAAUUAGUUGAGUCUACUUUUCUGCUUCUUUUGGACUAUGGAGAUUUUUUAUAUAUGCACGCCCCUAAUAAAAAUUUGCACCAAUUGGAUUCAGCUUAUCAAGGUGCAUUGAAAUUUAUUACAGGGUGCAAGCCUUUCACACAGUUGCACACUGUAUAAUCUAGUCCAGUGGCCCUCCCUUUCUCAGCGCAGGCUAACCCGGUGGCGAUUGUUUAUAUAUAAAUUAGUGCUGUCAAUCGAUUAAAAAAAAUUAACUAAUUAAUCGCACAAUUUUUUAAAAUUAAUCGCGAUUAAUCGCAAUUAAAAGACUGAAACUUUUUGGAUAUGUAAAUGUAAAAUGUAAAUAAUUAAUGUAAACUCAAGACAAAGAAACUAUUUAAAUUCAAAAUAUGAUUGUUUAUUGGAAUUUUUGUUCAACUUGUAACACAGAUUUUCUCAUGUAAACAACAUACCUGCAAUAAACCAUCAAUAUCCUCCAAAUUAACUGUUGGCUUGAAAGCCAUAUUUAUUACAGAAAUAAAAACACAGGCAUGUAAGUACCAUUUGAAUUUCAAAACAAUCAAUGCCAAUAAAAAACAAAAAUGAUUUCCAUGUUGAAUUCUAAGUGGACUGCAAAAAAAUUCCAAAGUAUAGUCAUUGCCAGUGCUUUAAGUGGGCCGAUACGCACCAGUACUCAGUACCUUCACUUCCAAAUAUAGCUC